This 290-nucleotide long non-coding RNA is filed under the name Gossypium barbadense (sea-island cotton). RNAcentral describes it as "long non-coding RNA (GBAR_LNC010484)". Lineage: Eukaryota; Viridiplantae; Streptophyta; Magnoliopsida; Malvales; Malvaceae. The record is from RNAcentral.
AUAAAACACACCUUCCGCCGUUUGUCAUUUGGCCACAAUAUAUAUAUACAAAUCUCAUACAUAUCUCACAUUAGCCAUUUGGCUUUACCACAUAUCCAUCUCAUACACAUUUCGCAUUAGCCAUUCAGCCUUACCACAUAUAUACAUGUUCACAUUCAUCACAUUGGCCAUUCGGCCUUAUCUCAUAUAUGCAUGUUCACAUUCAUCACAUUGGCCAUUCGACCUUAUCACACAUACGCAUGUUCACAUUCAUCACAUUGGCCAUUCGGCCUUAUCACACAUAUAUAUAC